AUGAAAAUCCUGAGCUAGAACUGUCAGGGUUUGGGUCAACCUCGCAGAGUUCAAGAGCUUGUGUGUCUUUCAAAGACGCACCAACCCAAUGUUAUCUUUCUUUCCGGGACAAGAAAAAUUAAAGAAUAUGUUGAAUGUUUGCAUUAUCAUUUGGGUAUGAAAAAUGUGUUUACUAUUUCAGAUCAAGGAAAUGGUGGAGGCCUUGCCGUAUUUUGGGAUGAUCUGUAUACUCUAGAGCUGAAUAAGUUCGGCAAGCAUUUCAUUGACAUGUACAUUUGGUCUGGCAAUGGCACAAUAUGGAGGAGUACCUUCAUUUAUGGGGAACCAAAGGCACAUCAAAGGUACGUAAUGUGGGAGCUUUUGCACAGACUUAUACCUAUCGGUGUUGGUCCUUGGUUUAUGGUGGGGCAUUUAAUGAAGCAAUGUGGCAGACUCAACAUUUUUCCCGACAUAAGAGGUCGGAAUCGCUGA
Molecule: ribosomal RNA, 471 nt
Filed under: Triticum aestivum (bread wheat)
Lineage: Eukaryota; Viridiplantae; Streptophyta; Magnoliopsida; Poales; Poaceae
Description: partial small subunit ribosomal RNA
Source: RNAcentral